UACGUAGGUGGCAAGCGUUGUCCGGAUUUAUUGGGUUUAAAGGGUGCGUAGGUGGCCCUGUAAGUCAGUGGUGAAAUAUCUCAGCUUAACUGAGAGGGUGCCAUUGAUACUGCAGGGCUUGAGUACAGAUGAGGUAGGCGGAAUUGACGGUGUAGCGGUGAAAUGCAUAGAUAUCGUCAAGAACACCGAUAGCGAAGGCAGCUUACCAAGCUGUAACUGACACUGAGGCACGAAAGCGUGGGGAGCGAACAGG
RNAcentral lists this ribosomal RNA (253 nucleotides) under uncultured bacterium. RNAcentral describes it as "partial 16S ribosomal RNA". It matches the Rfam family "Bacterial small subunit ribosomal RNA", at positions 524 to 776 of the family's 1533-position model. The record is from RNAcentral.